Molecule: ribosomal RNA, 492 nt
Filed under: uncultured bacterium
Lineage: Bacteria
Description: partial 16S ribosomal RNA
Rfam family: Bacterial small subunit ribosomal RNA
Source: RNAcentral
GAUGAACGCUAGCUACAGGCCUAAUACAUGCAAGUCGCGGGGCCGGACGGGGGGUUUGUUCAUCCGCCGUUGGCGGCCGGCGGACGGGUGACACAUGCAUAACCUACCUGUCCGUCUGCGCGAACUAAGCCGGAGCGAGUCUGACACAUGACGAUUUAUUGACCUUCAUGGCUCCCUAGUUGGACGCAAUGUUUGGGGGCGUAAGGGUUGGGGUUGCGCCGGAUUGGCUUGAGGGCGGGGUAACGGCCCACCGUGGCUACGAUCGGUAGGGGUCCUGAGAGGAAGGUCCCCCACACUGGAGCUGAGACACGGUCCAGACUCCUACGGGAGGCAGCAGUGAGGAAUAUUGGUCAAUGGGCGUAAGCCUGAACCAGCCAAGUAGCGUGCAGGAGGACGGCCCUAUGGGUUGUAAACUGCUUUUAUGCGGGGAUAAAGUGGCCCACGUGUGGGCUUUUGCAGGUACCGCAUGAAUAAGGACCGGCUAAUUCCGUG